UGGAUCUUAUAGAGAAUUUCCUACAGGAUUAAGAUGGUUGUGUUGGGUAGCAUUUCCUUUGAGUUCUAUACCAAAUGAUUUUACUUUGGAGAACCUUGUCUUUCUUGAAAUGCAGUACAGCAGCUUGAGGCAAAUGUGGAACGGAACAAAAUUUCUUCCAUCAUUGCAAAUGCUUGAUGUCAGCCAUUCUCAUGACCUUACUAAGAUCGCUGACUUCUCUCUUUGCCCCAAUCUAGAAACACUUAUUCUUUUAGGUUGUCGAAGCCGGAUUGACGUCCAUGAAUCCAUCGGAAACCUCAAGAGACUUGUUUACUUGAAUAUGAAAGAUUGUGAAAGCAUUAGGAUGCUUCCAAACACCAUUUCUAGGCUUAAAGUGCUUGAAACUCUUAUAAUAUCUGGCUGCUCAAAUCUUAAUGAAUCUUCAAUGAAGAUGAUGAGGAGCAUGGAAUCUCUGAAAGUAUUUGAAGCAAAUAGAAUUCCAAUAAAUCAAUUACAGACUACUACUGGGGAGAAUACCAUUGAAUCAUGGCCUCAAAGAAGUCCUUGUAUAUUGAGUUCUUUACCAUGCUCUUUAGUAUCUUUAAGUUUUAGUGGAUGCAAUCUUUAGGAGGAUGCUUUUCCUAUCGAAUUUGGUAACCUAUCCUCAACAUUACAAAGACAAAAUCUAAGUAACAAUCAAAUUUGUAGCCUACCAAUUUGUGUCAGAGGUCUUACCAAGCUCAAUGAACUCUCCUUUUCCAACUGUUCAAGACUCAAACUACUUAUACCAAAAGUAGAAGGUGAACUGAAUUUGGAAGAUUGCACAUCAUUAGAAAGAAUAACGUAUCAAUGCAGUUUGUGCCAAGCAAAGACCACCUUUUUGGGUUACAACCGAAAUCUAGUUGAGUGGGAGUAUGAGUAUAAGUUAGUACCCACUGGAACAGUAGUUGAUAAAGAAAUGGUCAACCAUUUGGGCUUGUGUAACUUGGAUUCUACGCCAACCAUCAAGAUACGGCAUCCUUGCAUGUACGGUUAUGAUCUGUGUCCUAUCCAGGUGCGCAUACCUGCCUCAUUCGAACACCAGCUCUAAGCUUUAUUAACGAUGUUGUUUACUAAUACAUGAUUUGCAAUUUUGCAUAUAUGUCAUAUAUGGACUAUAUGAAUAUGGCAUAUUCAGCACAUUUCUUCUUGGGAAUGAGAUUCCAGGCAAUUUCAGCCAUAAAGUAGUGACGGAUCCUCCUCAAUAUGUUUCACUGUGCCUUCACUUCCUAAUCUCAGAAUUCGAGGCUUGAACUUCUUCGUCGUCUAUGCAAAUUCUGAAAAUGGUCCUCCUAGCGUGUUUGAUGAUCAUUUACCUACUGCACUAAUUACUAAAGUCAGAAACAAGAGCAAGGGUCGGACCUGGAUCUACGGCCCGCGAUCCUAUGGAAUUCCAGAUUUCCAGGUGCAGGAGAGGACAUGAUAUGGUUAAGCCGUUGGAGUUUUCUGGAGAACCAAUUCAAAGGUGGCGAUCAAGUAGAUGUUUCAGUAUCUAUAGAACCUCAGCGUCAUGUAAAGGAGUGGGGCAUCAAGCUUGUAAUGGAGGAGCAACAACGACACAUGACAAGUAGUAGUAGUACCAGUGAGGAUCCUUGUGAUGGAGAUAUGUCAAGACGUGAGGUCUUGCCGGGGAUAUACUUGUUCUGCUAAUGGGUACCAGCUGGAAGAAUGGAAGAUAUUGCCUUACGUAGGCCGACUUGGUUUAUUGACCUGAUUGGAGAUCCCUAUGAAGAUAUAUACAGGCGAUGACAAUGAAGACGAGCAACAAGAUGAACAUCACACACUUGUACCAGCAACGAGUAGUGACGGCGACAACCACCGGGAUCUCAGAAAGUAGAAGGUGCUCAGUUUGGCCGCUGUGUUUUUAAUUCUCUCCUUGUCCAUGCGCGCACUCCUCUCUUUCUCAUCCAAACAGACAUGCAUGGAGUCUGCUUUGGUUCCUACAUGAACUUGUUAGUAUUUGAUAAAGGUGAUCAUCUCUGGCGUGGAUUUGAUUAACUGGAAUAUUAAUUCUUUCCUUGGAUAUGUUAAUCAAAAAUUAAGAGUUGGAUGUGCCUUUUGCAUCAAACUAAUUAAGUUCUUGUUUAAGGAUAUCUCUAUUUUGUGUUUAAUCCAAACUCUAGGUUACUUGACCUAGUGGUAAUAGCGUUCAAUUAGAAGAAUCUAGAGAUUCUAUU
This is a long non-coding RNA of Rosa chinensis, 2195 nucleotides long. RefSeq lists it as uncharacterized. NCBI's taxonomy places the organism in Eukaryota, Viridiplantae, Streptophyta, Magnoliopsida, Rosales, Rosaceae. The record is from RefSeq and is a predicted model, not a curated record. The transcript is spliced from 3 exons.